This 214-nucleotide ribosomal RNA is filed under the name Escherichia coli. RNAcentral's name for it is "partial 16S ribosomal RNA". It matches the Rfam family "Bacterial small subunit ribosomal RNA", at positions 1 to 214 of the family's 1533-position model. Lineage: Bacteria; Pseudomonadati; Pseudomonadota; Gammaproteobacteria; Enterobacterales; Enterobacteriaceae. The record is from RNAcentral. RNAcentral also lists the same sequence under 1 other name.
AAAUUGAAGAGUUUGAUCAUGGCUCAGAUUGAACGCUGGCGGCAGGCCUAACACAUGCAAGUCGAACGGUAACAGGAAGCAGCUUGCUGUUUCGCUGACGAGUGGCGGACGGGUGAGUAAUGUCUGGGAAACUGCCUGAUGGAGGGGGAUAACUACUGGAAACGGUAGCUAAUACCGCAUAACGUCGCAAGACCAAAGAGGGGGACCUUCGGGC